ACGCUCGACACCUACGGGAGGCAGCAGUAGGGAAUCUUCCACAAUGGACGCGAAGUCUGAUGGAGCAACGCCGCGUGAGUGAAGAAGGUCUUCGGAUCGUAAAACUCUGUUGUUAGAGAAGAACACGAGUGAGAGUAACUGUUCAUUCGAUGACGGUAUCUAACCAGCAAGUCACGGCUAACUACGUGCCAGAAGCCGCGGUAAUCUGAGCGGGCUGGCAAGGC
RNAcentral lists this ribosomal RNA (224 nucleotides) under uncultured bacterium. Its description in RNAcentral is "partial 16S ribosomal RNA". It matches the Rfam family "Bacterial small subunit ribosomal RNA", at positions 328 to 539 of the family's 1533-position model. The record is from RNAcentral.